GCUGGCGUAGCUCAACAGGUAGAGCAGCUGAUUUGUAAUCAGCAGGUCGCGGGUUCGAAUCCCAUCGCCAGCUCCA
This 76-nucleotide transfer RNA is filed under the name Desulfobacteraceae bacterium. RNAcentral's name for it is "tRNA-Thr". It matches the Rfam family "tRNA". From Rfam's summary of the family: Transfer RNA (tRNA) molecules are approximately 80 nucleotides in length. Their secondary structure includes four short double-helical elements and three loops (D, anti-codon, and T loops). The record is from RNAcentral. Lineage: Bacteria; Pseudomonadati; Thermodesulfobacteriota; Desulfobacteria; Desulfobacterales; Desulfobacteraceae. RNAcentral also lists the same sequence under 1 other name.